Molecule: ribosomal RNA, 101 nt
Filed under: Propithecus coquereli (Coquerel's sifaka)
Lineage: Eukaryota; Metazoa; Chordata; Mammalia; Primates; Indriidae
Source: RNAcentral
CAUACUACCCUAAAUGCAACUAAUCUCAUCUGAUCUCAGAAGCUAAGCAGGGUCAGGCCUGGUUAGUGCUUGGAUGGGAGAUCUCACCAUGAACCCAUGUU